AACGAACGCUGGCGGCAUGCCUAACACAUGCAAGUCGAACGAGACCUUCGGGUCUAGUGGCGCACGGGUGCGUAACGCGUGGGAAUCUACCCUCAGGUUCGGCAUAACUCAGAGAAAUAUGAGCUAAUACCGGAUGAUGACGUAAGUACAAAGAUUUAUCGCAUGAGGAUGAGCCUGCUUAGGAUUAGGUAGUUGGUGAGGUAAAGGCUCACCAAGGCGACGAUGCUUAGAUGGUCUGAGAGGAUGAUCAGCCACACUGGGAUUGAGACACGGCCCAGACUCCUACGGGAGGCAGCAGUGGGGAAUAUUGGACAGUGGGCGAAAGCCUGAUCCAGCAAUGCCGCGUGAGUAAUGAAGGCCUUAGGGUUGUAAAGCUCUUUUACCCGGGAUGAUAAUGACAGUACCGGGAGAAUAAGCUCCGGCUAACUCCGUG
RNAcentral lists this ribosomal RNA (433 nucleotides) under uncultured bacterium. Its description in RNAcentral is "partial 16S ribosomal RNA". It matches the Rfam family "Bacterial small subunit ribosomal RNA", at positions 29 to 507 of the family's 1533-position model. The record is from RNAcentral.